UGUCGACAUUAUAGUUACGCAGGCACUUUGGUGACUCUAGAGAACCUUGGGCCAAUCGCACGUCCCAUGGUGACCACGGGUAACAGGGAAUCAGGGUUCGUUUCGGAGAGGGAGCCUAAGAAACAGCUACCACGUCCAAGGAAGGCAGCAGGCGCGCAAAUUACCCACUCCCGAUGCGGGGAAGUAGUGACGACA
Non-coding RNA from Pelobates cultripes (western spadefoot toad), 195 nucleotides. NCBI's taxonomy places the organism in Eukaryota, Metazoa, Chordata, Amphibia, Anura, Pelobatidae. The record is from the annotation of a GenBank genome assembly.